CGCAAACCGCCUCCAUGUUGGACCAAGCAACCAGCCUGACCGUGGUGCUGCUGGUGGCCCUGGAAGAGAGCCAGAUGAUCUCCCUACCGGUGACUGAAAGCAUCCACUUCAGUGUGCUGGAGUCUGUGGUCCUUUAUCUGGAGAAGGAGACCGACUUUGAGAAAAAGAGGGUCCUGCUGCAGUGCUUUGGGAAAGUGCUGACGAGCUUGAUGCAGACAGGACGAGAUGUGACUAGUGACAGGUUUUUCCUCAUCAAGGAGUAUUUUCGUAUCCCUUUGGCCAGCCUGCGGGCAGUGCUAAGUGCAGUGGACUUUGCCACAGUCCGAGAGAUCACGCAGUACUACAGCAGGAACCAGGCAACGCUGCAGCUCACUGAGGACUACCUGAGCACCAUGAUAUCAGUGUUUUUCCAGACCCAGUUGGUCAAAGAUGGGAACCUCUUUCCUGAACUUACCCCCCUACUGGCCCUGGCCAGCCCUGCAGACAUCCAGUCACUGCCCCCCUUUCAGACCUACUCCAGUGUGAUAAAGACCAUCAAUGGAAACAUUGGGAGCCUGUCUGUGGAGCAGCGGCGGGCCUUCGGGAAGUGGUACAGCCAAGCUUUCAGCUCCCUCAACAUAACAGCUGGUGGCCUCACCCUCAUCAGGGACACCGGUAACCUGAUCGUCUACUUGCCCCUCCAAAGCUUCCAGCACCUCUCGCCUGCUCAGCUGUUGGAUGGAAUGGAUAUUGUGCUGGUGAACACCCUGAGCCCUCUCCAGCAGCAGUUUGU
Esox lucius (northern pike) is the source of this 772-nucleotide long non-coding RNA. The record is from Ensembl. NCBI's taxonomy places the organism in Eukaryota, Metazoa, Chordata, Actinopteri, Esociformes, Esocidae.